UAUCUAUCUAUGUAUACAUAUAUGUAUAUAUACAGUUUGUGUGUGGGGAAUAUAAGGGGGAAAAAAACAGCAAUCAUACCACAUGAGGCAUAAAGUUUUCAGCGGUAGGUGCAUGGCAUGGUAAUAUUGGAAGGCCUUGCUUCUCUGCAGACAACUAUUUUUCCUUGAUGUCUUGCUUAGACUUGCUGAAAUUAUUGAGAACUAACUUAUUAAAGCUUUCAAUGAGUCUCUUGCCGCGUCAACAACCACUACACUGUCACAUUACUGUUGCAUUAGUGAGACAUUACCGAAAGUAAGUUGGCCUAUGAGACUUGAUUGCAACAAUCAAGAAAGUUUGAGCUAGAAAUUGCAGCUAUUAUGGUUUGAGGACCAAAAGUGUAAUUUAGCCUUAUUUUAUAUAACAAACGACUGGGCAGGCAAUAAUUUUCCAAUCUCGGCUACCUAUAACUACACUCAAUUGGAAGGUCUGCUGUUUUGCAGGCAACCUUGUUCUGUCGGUUGUCUUCAAGGUGCAUAAGACUAUAUGAUGCCUCUUGAUAUGAUCGAAUGGCCGGCCCUUAAUGCUUCAUGCAAUGUUAAGGAAGCAUCUCUCCUUUAUUUUACGUUUCGAAGGAGGUUGUGAUGAUUGGCAGUUGGGAAGGCACCUCCACUUAUUUUUUCUUGGCUUUUGAUUCUUAAUGGAGUGCGGAAGCUGAUCGAAAUACUGGAUAUAAGAGGUAGUAUGGCCAACCCUAAAAACUGUACUUUUGCAAACACACAAAAAAAAAAAAAAAAAAUCCCCUUUCAUGAAUAACUGUAGAAACGGAUGGUCUGCACUUUUGCAGGCAACCUAGCAGUUACAUGCCGUAUUUUGUGGUUUGUAGUUUAAGCCAUUUCUUUACGACAUCAUUUGCCUAGCGAUCAAGCGGUUUCAAAUACAUCGUAUAUUAGACAUUAAAAUUGUUGAUUUCUGGACCACUUGACUACUUAGCAAAUGAUAUCCAAGAAUGAUGAAGUUUGAAACCUAGAAAGUUGAAAUAUCCUAGAUCAUGUUUGACGGUGUUAAUCGUCUAUCCGGAUGCCCCAUUAUCGGAAAUGACACGGAAGUAAGCUGUACUUGUAGAAGUAUUCUAGCCUCUCUUUUUCUCUCUCUCUCUCAACUUUCUAGGUUGAAAUAUAGAGCAAAAAGUCGGUGGUGGCACUAUUAUGGAUCAAUAGGUUCUAGGGUUCACUUCUUGAAGUAUCCCCCUGCUCUCGCACCCCAAAAACACACACACACACACAAAAAGAAAAAAAAAAAAAAAAAAAACUCAAAAUGUAGUUUCUCGUGGAAACUUGCUCCUGCUUGGCAUGCUAUCUUGAACGGCUAGCUCCGAUGCAGGCAACCAAUAUUUGCAUCUAUACAGGGGAUUUUAAUCCUCAGUUUGCUAUUUUGAAGCAACAAGUGUUGGAUACAGUGCACCAGAACUGAAGCAUUUGACUGAAACGUAGCUUGGCAAUCUUUGGAAGGCUUGCAAUUCUGUGAGCAACCAUUAUGCAGCUGUUUGUGUAGUUCUGUGAAGAUUCUGGUGAAAAGGGCAGAUCUGAGCCACCUC
Long non-coding RNA from Ananas comosus (pineapple), 1574 nucleotides. RefSeq lists it as uncharacterized. NCBI's taxonomy places the organism in Eukaryota, Viridiplantae, Streptophyta, Magnoliopsida, Poales, Bromeliaceae. The record is from RefSeq and is a predicted model, not a curated record. The transcript has 2 exons.